Molecule: ribosomal RNA, 401 nt
Filed under: uncultured bacterium
Lineage: Bacteria
Description: bacterial SSU rRNA
Rfam family: Bacterial small subunit ribosomal RNA
Source: RNAcentral
UGGGGAAUAUUGGACAAUGGGCGCAAGCCUGAUCCAGCAAUGCCGCGUGAGUGAUGAAGGCCUUAGGGUUGUAAAGCUCUUUCGCACGCGACGAUGAUGACGGUAGCGUGAGAAGAAGCCCCGGCUAACUUCGUGCCAGCAGCCGCGGUAAUACGAAGGGGGCUAGCGUUGUUCGGAAUUACUGGGCGUAAAGGGCGCGUAGGCGGCCUGUUUAGUCAGAAGUGAAAGCCCCGGGCUCAACCUGGGAAUAGCUUUUGAUACUGGCAGGCUUGAGUUCCGGAGAGGAUGGUGGAAUUCCCAGUGUAGAGGUGAAAUUCGUAGAUAUUGGGAAGAACACCGGUGGCGAAGGCGGCCAUCUGGACGGACACUGACGCUGAGGCGCGAAAGCGUGGGGAGCAAAC